GCUUAACACAUGCAAGUCGAGCGAGAAUCGUUUUGCUGAAGGCUUCGGUCUGACGCAGAAUGAGGAAAGCGGCGAACGGGUGAGUAACGCGUGGGCAACCUGGCCUUAAGAAAAGGAUAGCCCCCGGAAACGGGGAGUAAUACUUUAUGAGAAUGAAAGAGGGCAUCCUACUUUCAUUCAAAGCGCAAGCGCUUAAGGAUGGGCCCGCGUAUCAUUAGCUAGUUGGUGAGAUAACAGCCCACCAAGGCAACGAUGAUUAGCCGGUCUGAGAGGGCGAACGGCCACAUUGGAACUGAGGGACGGUCCAAACUCCUACGGGAGGCAGCAGUGGGGAAUAUUGCGCAAUGGAGAAGAACUCUGACGCAGCAAUACCGCGUGAGCGAAGAAGGUCUUCGGAUCGUAAAGCUCUGUUAUCAGGGAAGAGGAAAAUGACGGUACCUGAUGAGCAAGUCCCGGCUAACUACGUGCCAGCCGCCGCGGUAA
This 483-nucleotide ribosomal RNA is filed under the name uncultured bacterium. RNAcentral describes it as "partial 16S ribosomal RNA". It matches the Rfam family "Bacterial small subunit ribosomal RNA", at positions 46 to 523 of the family's 1533-position model. The record is from RNAcentral.